Molecule: non-coding RNA, 439 nt
Organism: Pseudomonas syringae pv. pisi str. 1704B
Lineage: Bacteria; Pseudomonadati; Pseudomonadota; Gammaproteobacteria; Pseudomonadales; Pseudomonadaceae
Source: Rfam
CCACCCAAUGCUCCGCCUACGCCUGACUCGAGGUUGCCUGCAGACGCUGCACCGCCGAUCAAGGUAAGAGACAACAACAGUAUCGAGGAAUACUUCAUGUAUGGAAUCUCAUAGGGAUGACGCCGCGAUCUUGGUGUCAAGUGAAGAAUGUAGCAAUGCAAUUCCGACGAGUAACACGAUUGCCACACAAACUGCUAAGUUAUUGUUUUGGCUAAGGAACUUAAGUCGAAAAAGAGAGUCUGAGGCUACUUGCAAAAGGCCCGCUUCCAGUGAAGCGGGCCUUUUUUGUGGGCGUCUUUCAGGGACGUCAGAGGAUGCGUGCCGACUCUGCCGAGCGCUCGAGGCGAAUGGCAACGAACUUCGAUGUCGGCGUGCUGCUGCCAUCACCCACGCUUUCCAGAGGCACCAGUGGGUUGACCUCUGGGUAGUAGGCGGCAGC